AAAGACAAAAAAAACUUUGUACAUUAUAACACUAAGAGCAACAAAAUUCCAUAUAACUACAUAAGAAGAUUAAAUUUCGACACAAAAAGUUAAAACAGCUAGCAUACGAAUGAUGCUACGUUUCUCCAGCUCUGAAUAAUAACAAGAGUAACUAAUAAUAAUAGCAAAAGGAAAUUAAACCCUGGUUGAUGGGAUCAAAGUUAAACAUCAAAGCAAAGAUAAACUAUCAACCGAUUGAUCAAUUGGAAGUCAUUUGAGUCUGACGGAUCUGCCACAUGUUCUUGACAAAGAGAGGCAAAAGAUGUGCGAUCAAAACCGCAGGGAAAUCUGUUGGUGAUCAACUUUGCCACAUGUCUCUUUCUCAGUAGAGAGAGACAUUGAUUCCUUGCGAGAAACAAAGAAAGAGUGAGAAGAGAUUUAGAUGAUUUAACUAGAUACGAGGAGAGAUAUACAUUGGGUAUAAAUGUUUUUAUUACAUGUUCGAGCUGUCUAGCGAUUUCGUCCAUUCUUGGUUCAAGCAUCUAAGCCUUGACAUUGGUCAAGGUAUCGAGUAGACGACCUUCGAACAACAUCAGCUCGAAGAGCGUCAUGCCAUGUAGAUCUCUGCCAUACAUUCUCUUGAGAGAAAGAAUAAAAAGGGUCAUGUUUCGUCAAAAGUGAAGAAACAAUAAGGGUCAAUGAAAAAAAUGGUAAAGACAAAAUGUGCAAAAACUUAAGAAAUAUUUGCGAUCCAGCCGCAUGAAAAUAUGGCGAUCAUCCUCAAACAUUAAAAAAAGAUUAAGAUAAUUUAAGAACAGAUAUACAUUGGAUAUGUGUGCUUAGCACUAGUUUGACCAGAUUAGGAUUUUGAAAUCCAAAUGGUGAUUUGAUGUCA
This 874-nucleotide small RNA is filed under the name Arabidopsis thaliana (thale cress). RNAcentral's name for it is "ATSL124780". Lineage: Eukaryota; Viridiplantae; Streptophyta; Magnoliopsida; Brassicales; Brassicaceae. The record is from RNAcentral.